This 282-nucleotide long non-coding RNA is filed under the name Elaeis guineensis (African oil palm). RNAcentral describes it as "long non-coding RNA (EGUI_LNC006125)". The record is from RNAcentral. Lineage: Eukaryota; Viridiplantae; Streptophyta; Magnoliopsida; Arecales; Arecaceae.
GCUCGCUAUAAGAGUCAAUUAGAAAGCUUAAGGGGUUAGGAUAUUGCACCAACCGUAUAUGUAAAUAUUCUUCAAAAAAAAAAAAGAAGAAAAAGAAUAAGGGGAAUAAACUGUAAAAAGAUACUACACCAAACCCACAUUAAGUUAGAAGCUUUAAAGAUAAGAGUGGGGAGUUGGUGAAAGAAGAUCUCUAAAAAUUUUUAUGGCUAAUACUUAACUAUUAAUUGGAUCGAAUUGAUAAUCCAAUGAAAUAUCUCUUUAAUGAUCUGGCUAGGUAUCCAC